RNAcentral lists this long non-coding RNA (2617 nucleotides) under Sus scrofa (pig). RNAcentral's name for it is "lncRNA (ENSSSCG00035050695.1)". Lineage: Eukaryota; Metazoa; Chordata; Mammalia; Artiodactyla; Suidae. The record is from RNAcentral.
ACAGAAGGAGUGAUAAGGUUGAAAAGUUCUGCAGGUCAGGCGUCUGGUGAGCUCAGCUGGUUCCUCUGGCCCAGGUUUCACAGGCUGAGAUCAAGUUGUUGGCAAGCUGGACUCUUAUCUGGAGGCUCUGAGAGGGAGGCUGUUUCCAAGCUCAUCCAGGCUGCUGACAGAAUUCAGUUAUUUGGGCUCAGGGCUGAGGUCUCUGUUUCCUUGCUGGCUGUCAGCCAGGAGCCUCUCUCAGCCUGAAUUCCUCACCACGUGGACCCUCCAUCUUCAAGCCAGCAACUUCCGGUUGAGUCUUCUUCAUGCUUUGAAUCUCUCUGAGUUCUGUUGCCUCUCUUCUGCCUCCAUCUGGAGAAAUUUCUCUGCUCUCAAGGGCUUGUGUGAUGUGAUUAAAUCCAACUGGAUAGGACAAUCCAGGCUAAUCUUUCUGUCUUAGGUCUGUAAACUUAAUUAUAUCUACAAAGUCCCUUUUGCCAGGUAAAGUAUAUUAGUUAGUAUUCUCUGGAUAAAUAAGCAAUGGGAUAUACAUCUAUGUCUAUCUCUACUGAUGUAUAUCUCUGUGUAUGUAUUUAUAUAUGUAUGUAUGUAUGUAUGUAUCUAACAUUUGCCAAAGUCCUUAGAACCAGGGAAGCAGAUGGUAUAAAUUCCAGUUCUAUGGCCUCAGUCAGUGAGACAGAAAAAAGGAGCAAAUUCCUCUUUCCUCUGCCUUUUGUUUCAUUCCUGCCCUCAAUGGAUUGGAUGAUGCACACCCAUAUUGGAGAGGGGAAUCUACCUUACUGAGCUCAUCCAUUCAAAUGCUAAUAUCAUCCAGGAAUACCCUCACAGACACAGAAAUAUUGUUUAAUUUGGACACACCAUGGCCAGUCAAGGUGAAAUAACCAUCAUGAGGUAAUAUAUUUAUUGGUUCCAGGGGUUAGGGUGUGAAACUUUGGAGGUCCAUUCUGCCUACCACACCAUACAAAGGCUCCACUAUUUGGUUUGCCUCGUGCCUGCCUCAAUUCUAGAGUGGGAAUAUGAUGUUUUCGUCUUUUGGAACAUCUGUAGUAAGAAUUAUUUACCACUUAUUAAAUUAUAAAUGAACAUAUUCAAUCAUAGCAAAAUUAGAGUGAAGAGCCCAAAGAAAUCCAUCUAUCCAUUAUCCAACUUCAACAAUAAUCCAUAUUUGCCAGUUGUAAGACACCUAUUUGCUCAGACAGUGAUUUUUUUUUUGUUUCAAUAUAUCCUUUGGUGGAAGAAAAUGUCUUAUUUGCGAAGACUAAGCUUCAUUUUGGCAGCGGCAGGGGGUGGGGGGAUUGUAGUAGUUUUAUAUAAUGCAAAUAACAGAAAACAUUUACUUUUUCUUCCUUCUUUUUUUUUACUAGAAUAUAGUUGAUUUAUAGUGUUGUAUCAAUUUCUGCUGUAUAAUAUAGUGACCUAAUCAUACAUAUAUGUGUACAUUCUUUUUCUCAUACUAUCUUCCAUCAUGUUCUAUCCCAAGGUACUGGAUAUGGUUCCCUGUGCUGUACAGUAGGACCUCAUUGCUUAUCCAUUCUAAAUGUAAUAGUUUGCAUCUACUGGACUUUCUGUUGUGGCUCAGAGGGUUAAGAACCCUACUAGUAACCAUGAGGAUGAAGGUUUGAUUCCUGGUUUUGCUCAGUGGGUUAAGAAUCUGGCAUUGCCACAAGCUCUGAUGUAGGUGGCAGAUGUGGCUCAGAUCCUGUGUUUCUAUGGCUGUGGUAGGCUGACAGCUGCAGCUCUGAUUUGACCCCUAGCCUGGGAACUUCCAUGUGCCCUAAAUGGAAAACCGUUUGCUCUACCAAAAGUAUGGCACAAAUGAAUCUAUUUACAAAAGAGAAACAGACUCAAGGACAUAGAGAACAGACUUGUGGUUCAUGGGGGAAGAGGUAGGAAAAUGUUGAUAUUUUAACAAAGUAAGAAGAAUACUAGUUCCUUCCUCUCAUUUGGUGGAUGGAAAAUAACUUUGGAGUAUUAAAGUCUUGUCUAAUUUACAUAAUUACCAUUAUGAUUCAUGGACAUUUUGUAUUAAUUGUCUCACAGUAUAGGAUUCCCUUAUUUCAUUCUUGUCUGUUACAUAAGGGAAAGCUGAAUGAAAGGGAAUGGGAGAGGUAGUAGCUCUUCUCGGAGAAUUUAAGAAAUAAAAACUCAGGUUGCACAACAUUUCUGCUCCCCUCGCUUUUCUCUUGAUGCCAAGCACUGGGUAUUUGCAGCGCAAGUUAUAAUAGAACUUAUUUAAGAAGAUAUUUUACUAUAAUAACAUGAAUCAUUGCCAUCAUUGGACAAUUUGGGGGUAUAAAUAGACAAAAAUCCAUGGAUAAUCCAAAAAUAACAUUUCCGCAUUUGCAAUGUGUUUUCAUAACGUAUUUAACUGAGCAUGUGCUGAUGUUCUGGGAAUUUAGUUGGAACAGAAUAAUAAAGUACAGCAUAAACUCUGGCUUCAGUCUGUGGACACCUGGCUCUGAGAGUGGUGGAAGAGAUUUCUCUUUCCAAGUGUUUUCCUAUGAAGUGGAAAAUCAUGCCCAACUGUUUUGUUGAAAAGAGCUCCUCUCUAUGCAAACAUUUUUUUUAGAUUAAACUACAUAUGAAACAUUGUUUAGAGAAUCAUCUUCCAAUUUAU